RNAcentral lists this ribosomal RNA (497 nucleotides) under uncultured bacterium. RNAcentral's name for it is "partial 16S ribosomal RNA". It matches the Rfam family "Bacterial small subunit ribosomal RNA", at positions 28 to 507 of the family's 1533-position model. The record is from RNAcentral.
GAUGAACGCUGGCGGCGUGCCUAAUACAUGCAAGUCGAGCGAACAGGCGAGGAGCUUGCUCCUCUGACGUUAGCGGCGGGCGGGUGAGUAACACGUGGAUAACCUACCUAUCAGACUGGGAUAACUUCGGGAAACCGGAGCUAAUACCGGAUAAUAUAUUGAACCGCAUGGUUCAAUAGUGAAAGACGGUUUUGCUGUCACUUAUAGAUGGAUCCGCGCCGCAUUAGCUAGUUGGUAAGGUAACGGCUUACCAAGGCAACGAUGCGUAGCCGACCUGAGAGGGUGAUCGGCCACACUGGAACUGAGACACGGUCCAGACUCCUACGGGAGGCAGCAGUAGGGAAUCUUCCGCAAUGGGCGAAAGCCUGACGGAGCAACGCCGCGUGAGUGAUGAAGGUCUUCGGAUCGUAAAACUCUGUUAUUAGGGAAGAACAAAUGUGUAAGUAACUAUGCACGUCUUGACGGUACCUAAUCAGAAAGCCACGGCUAACUACGUG